AGUCCACUAGCUCAGUAGGAUAGAGCAUCUGCCUUCUAAGCAGACGGUCGCAGGUUCGAUUCCUGUGUGGACUA
RNAcentral lists this transfer RNA (74 nucleotides) under Shewanella phage Thanatos-1. Its description in RNAcentral is "tRNA-Arg". It matches the Rfam family "tRNA". Rfam says of the family: Transfer RNA (tRNA) molecules are approximately 80 nucleotides in length. RNAcentral also lists the same sequence under 1 other name. The record is from RNAcentral. Lineage: Duplodnaviria; Heunggongvirae; Uroviricota; Caudoviricetes; Pantevenvirales; Straboviridae.